AACCCCAAAUGAGGACGUAAGCAAGAACAGGAUGUGUAAGAACUUAGAGCUAACUCAAGAGAACACAAACACAUUUUUACAGCAUUUAAGACAGUCUGACAGCCAAUUACCAUCAUCUUUUCUAUACUAAAACUACUUUGUACACAGCUUGGAGUUGGACUUUUUGAAAAGAAAGGGACUAUUUUUCCGGACCGUGAUUUCCAGCAAUAUCUCCUUGUCUGGUUUUGUCGAUGUGUUGUUUUUAACAGGCUCACCCAUGGGGCUCCUAUACUCCUGCAAGCCUUGUAGCCCGUGCUUACCGACUGAGGAGGAAUGCAGAGCAGAGGGCUACAACAGGAGACAUUGGCUGGACCGUUGUUGUGACAUGUGUUGCCAGAUGUGUGUGUAUGUGUGCGCCGGCUUGUGCAAUCUGGACUGCAGCUACACAUUUUGUAUCCACUGCCUCGGCCUGGCACAAAACUGUAUCGCAAUUUUCUCUGGACAAAAAGCAGCAACAAUAGCAGUGCCUGGGAGAGAUCCUGAGGAGUGUGUGUAGAGAAACCCAACCAUUUAAAAGCAGUGAUGUGAGACCCCUCAUCGACACAAGACUUAGAGUUGACCCAUUUUCCUCGCUGGUCACAAGAAGCCUUUGUAAUUACCGGUGAAGCGGUUUUGGACACACAGAGCAGAAGCAACUACGGGCCUCGAGCAGGGCACAUGUUGGACUAAAGUGUAUUCA
This is a long non-coding RNA of Periophthalmus magnuspinnatus, 718 nucleotides long. RefSeq lists it as uncharacterized. NCBI's taxonomy places the organism in Eukaryota, Metazoa, Chordata, Actinopteri, Gobiiformes, Gobiidae. The transcript is spliced from 3 exons. The record is from RefSeq and is a predicted model, not a curated record.